This 552-nucleotide ribosomal RNA is filed under the name uncultured bacterium. Its description in RNAcentral is "bacterial SSU rRNA". It matches the Rfam family "Bacterial small subunit ribosomal RNA", at positions 777 to 1326 of the family's 1533-position model. The record is from RNAcentral.
AAUAGAUACCCUGGAAGUCCACGCCGUAAACGAUGAAUGCUAAGUGUUAGGGGGUUUCCGCCCCUUAGUGGCUGCAGCUAACGCAUUAAGCACUCCGCCUGGGGAGUACGGUCGCAAGACUGAAACUCAAAGGAAUUGACGGGGGCCCGCACAAGCGGUGGAGCAUGUGGUUUAAUUCGAAGCAACGCGAAGAACCUUACCAGGUCUUGACAUCCCAUUGACCACUAUGGAGACAUAGUUUUCCCUUCGGGGACAACGGUGACAGGUGGUGCAUGGUUGUCGUCAGCUCGUGUCGUGAGAUGUUGGGUUAAGUCCCGCAACGAGCGCAACCCUUGUUCUUAGUUGCCAUCAUUUAGUUGGGCACUCUAAGGAGACUGCCGGUGACAAACCGGAGGAAGGUGGGGAUGACGUCAAAUCAUCAUGCCCCUUAUGACCUGGGCUACACACGUGCUACAAUGGACGGUACAAACGGUUGCCAACCCGCGAGGGGGAGCUAAUCCGAUAAAACCGUUCUCAGUUCGGAUUGUAGGCUGCAACUCGCCUACAUGGAAC